This 636-nucleotide ribosomal RNA is filed under the name uncultured bacterium. RNAcentral's name for it is "bacterial SSU rRNA". It matches the Rfam family "Bacterial small subunit ribosomal RNA", at positions 67 to 701 of the family's 1533-position model. The record is from RNAcentral.
GGGUUGAAGCUUGCUUUCRAUGCCGGCGACCGGCGCACGGGUGCGUAACGCGUAUCAAACCUGCCUCAUACUCGGGGAUAGCCUUGCGAAAGUAAGAUUAAUACCCGAUGUUGUUGCUUUCUCGCAUGGGAGAGUAACCAAAGAUUUAUCGGUAUGAGAUGGUGAUGCGUCCGAUUAGGUAGUAGGCGGGGUAACGGCCCACCUAGCCUUCGAUCGGUAGGGGUUCUGAGAGGAAGGUCCCCCACACUGGAACUGAGACACGGUCCAGACUCCUACGGGAGGCAGCAGUGAGGAAUAUUGGUCAAUGGGCGAGAGCCUGAACCAGCCAAGUAGCGUGCAGGAUGACGGCCCUCCGGGUUGUAAACUGCUUUUAGUUGGGAAUAAAAAAAGGGACUUGUCCCUUCUUGUAUGUACCUUCAGAAAAAGGACCGGCUAAUUCCGUGCCAGCAGCCGCGGUAAUACGGAAGGUCCAGGCGUUAUCCGGAUUUAUUGGGUUUAAAGGGAGCGUAGGCGGAUUGUUAAGUCAGCGGUUAAAGGGUGUGGCUCAACCAUGCAUUGCCGUUGAAACUGGCGAUCUUGAGUGCAGACAGGGAUGCCGGAAUUCGUGGUGUAGCGGUGAAAUGCUUAGAUAUCACG